Molecule: ribosomal RNA, 253 nt
Filed under: uncultured bacterium
Lineage: Bacteria
Description: partial 16S ribosomal RNA
Rfam family: Bacterial small subunit ribosomal RNA
Source: RNAcentral
UACGGAAGGUGCAAGCGUUAAUCGGCAUCACUGGGCGUAAAGCGCACGUGGGCCGUCCCCUAAGACGGGCGUGAAAGCCCUCGGCUCAACCGAGGAACUGCGCUCGAUACUGGAAGACUUGAGUUCUGGAGGGGGAGGCGUAAUUCCCGGUGUAGGAGUGAAAUCCGUAGAAAUCGGGAGGAACACCAGUGGCGAAGGCGGCCACCUGGACAGAUACUGACGCUGAGGUGCGAAAGCGUGGGGAGCAAACAGG